UACGGAGGGUGCGAGCGUUGUCCGGAAUCAUUGGGCGUAAAGGGCGCGUAGGUGGCGGGACAAGCGUGCGGUGAAAGCUCGGGGCUCAACCCCGAGUCGGCCGUGCGAACUGUUUUGCUUGAGCACUGUAGAGGCAGGCGGAAUUCCGGGUGUAGCGGUGGAAUGCGUAGAGAUCCGGAAGAACACCGGUGGCGAAGGCGGCCUUGCUGGGCAG
This 214-nucleotide ribosomal RNA is filed under the name uncultured bacterium. Its description in RNAcentral is "partial 16S ribosomal RNA". It matches the Rfam family "Bacterial small subunit ribosomal RNA", at positions 524 to 736 of the family's 1533-position model. The record is from RNAcentral.